This 791-nucleotide ribosomal RNA is filed under the name uncultured bacterium. RNAcentral describes it as "bacterial SSU rRNA". It matches the Rfam family "Bacterial small subunit ribosomal RNA", at positions 8 to 796 of the family's 1533-position model. The record is from RNAcentral.
AGAGUUUGAUCAUGGCUCAGAUUGAACGCUGGCGGCAUGCCUUACACAUGCAAGUCGAACGGCAGCGCGGGGGCAACCCUGGCGGCGAGUGGCGAACGGGUGAGUAAUACAUCGGAACGUGUCCUGGAGUGGGGGAUAGCCCGGCGAAAGCCGGAUUAAUACCGCAUACGAUCUCUGGAUGAAAGCGGGGGAUCUUCGGACCUCGCGCUCAAGGGGCGGCCGAUGGCAGAUUAGCUAGUUGGUGGGGUAAAGGCCUACCAAGGCGACGAUCUGUAGCUGGUCUGAGAGGACGACCAGCCACACUGGGACUGAGACACGGCCCAGACUCCUACGGGAGGCAGCAGUGGGGAAUUUUGGACAAUGGGGGCAACCCUGAUCCAGCAAUGCCGCGUGUGUGAAGAAGGCCUUCGGGUUGUAAAGCACUUUUGUCCGGAAAGAAAACCGCUUCUCUAAUACAGAGGUGGGAUGACGGUACCGGAAGAAUAAGCACCGGCUAACUACGUGCCAGCAGCCGCGGUAAUACGUAGGGUGCAAGCGUUAAUCGGAAUUACUGGGCGUAAAGCGUGCGCAGGCGGUUCGCUAAGACCGAUGUGAAAUCCCCGGGCUUAACCUGGGAACUGCAUUGGUGACUGGCGGGCUAGAGUAUGGCAGAGGGGGGUAGAAUUCCACGUAGCAGUGAAAUGCGUAGAGAUGUGGAGGAAUACCGAUGGCGAAGGCAGCCCCCUGGGCCAAUACUGACGCUCAUGCACGAAAGCGUGGGGAGCAAACAGGAUUAGAUACCCUAGUAGUCC